This is a long non-coding RNA of Lotus japonicus, 1192 nucleotides long. RefSeq lists it as uncharacterized. The transcript is spliced from 8 exons. Lineage: Eukaryota; Viridiplantae; Streptophyta; Magnoliopsida; Fabales; Fabaceae. The record is from RefSeq and is a predicted model, not a curated record.
UCAACUUGCAAUAUUCACCAAGGAAGUGAAUUGGCAGGAUUACUGAAAGUGGCUAAGCUAAUUAUAUGGGAUGAGGCUCCAAUGUCACACAAGUUUUGCUUUGAAGCAUUAGAUAAAAGUCUUAGAGAUAUCAUGAAUUGCUCUAAUAAUGUAAAUGCUCCUUUUGCAGGAAAAGUGAUUGUCUUUGGGGGUGACUUCAGACAAAUUCUUCCAGUUAUACCAAAAGGUAAUGAAAGAGAAUAUUUGAGCUCUGAUUCAAUUGACAAAUCAGAAGCACUUCAAAAUCCAAUACUUCAGACUCUUACACCUGAGUUUCUGAAUUCACUUAGAACUUCUGGUCUCCCUAAUCACAAGAUCAAAUUGAAAAUUGGUACACCAAUCAUGUUGAUGAGAAAUUUAGACCAAUGUGAAGGAUUAUGCAAUGGCACAAGAAUGAUUGUUACACACCUUUCAGAUCAUGUUAUUGGAGCUAAGGAAAUCUCUGGAAAGAACAAGGGAGUUGUGACUUACAUUACUAGAAUGUGCAUGUCCCCAUCUCAAUCACCAUGGCCUUUUAAACUUGUUUUUGAUAUAUAUCAUAAUAAAACUUCAUUCCGGGUUUAGGUGCACUUACAUGAUUACAUGACGCGGAAGAAGUAUUUUGUCCUCAUUUGGGAGUUCUCAACUUCCUAAUCCUGCUUUUUGGUAUGUUUACAUAUUGUGGAAGAAGUUUUUUUUUCAUCUGGGAGUUCUCAACUUCCUCAUCAUGGCCGAUGCACCAUUUUUGUUGUCCAAAUUUACAACUUGCUGAAGUGUUACUUUUUGGAGAUUUGCUUGCAAUGGAAAUACAAGUUUCAGCUCUUGAUUCUACAAAGUCACAACAAAUCAUGUGAAAUUCAAAAUAUUGGGCUGUGGAUGCUCCAAUCAUCUACCAAGGUUCAACCUUUGUGUCGUCACUACUCGAUUCAAGAAAGGUUCUUCUCAACGAUUCAAGUGGCCACCGUAUGCAUAUGGUGUUUGGAUUUAUCAAAUCUAAAUCAAAAUUACAAUUAUUUGUUCUUUCACACAUGUUUGCCUGGAUUUUUAGUUUACAUGGAUAUAACUAUUUGUAAGGUUAUAAUGUAUAAUGUAUUCUGUCAUCAAAUUUGGAUAACUGACCUCAUGGGUGUUGUGAUUCAAUCACUUUUGUUUCACGCAAUAUUUAUAGUAGUAA